Long non-coding RNA from Bactrocera latifrons, 685 nucleotides. RefSeq lists it as uncharacterized. The record is from RefSeq and is a predicted model, not a curated record. NCBI's taxonomy places the organism in Eukaryota, Metazoa, Arthropoda, Insecta, Diptera, Tephritidae. The transcript is spliced from 4 exons.
AGUAAUUCUUGACUGAUGUCGCGAAUGUUUGUUAAAAUUAGUGAAAAGUAUUUGUUUAAAGUGUUAAAGUGUGUUUUUCAUUAACUUAAAGUUAAAAUCGCUAAGAAAUGCAAAAGAGUAGUGUCGUGAAAGUUGUUGUGCGUUAAAUUUCUCGAAAGUAUGAUUGUCUACAUAUAUUGUGCAAAUUCCUUAAGUGUGUUUUAGGGUUCGUUCGUGGGUGUGUAUAUGCUUKUAUGUAUGAACCUAACAAUCUUUACGCGUUUCGCUGUUGGAUUAUGUCGCAUGUGUCGGGUAGUAAAUGCUACAGUGUUGYUAUAAAAAAUAGCGCGUGGCGUAAUAUUGGCAAAACAAAUUUGAAAAGGCCGCCGCAGCCAGCCAUUCUAAACGCUUGACAAUCCACAGACAUAAUCCAGACUGCAACACUUGUAACGAUGCACGUUUACUGUUUUCAAUUGGCUGAAAGCGGUUUCCCCGGAGCGAUCGUCUGAGUGUACUGAAUACCCAGAAGUCAUUUGACGACAAAAUCAGGUGAAUGCAGUGCUUGCGGUACGACAUUGGUUGAAAUUUUGACGAAAACUCGCGGGGAAUCAUUGUAAUAURAGACGUCACAUUUUCAUAGUGCAAAAACCAAGAGCUGUCCGUCCAUAAUUCCGGUCGGCGGGUAGUAAGGAAUACGGAGUGCACC